UAGGGAAUCUUCGGCAAUGGGGGCAACCCUGACCGAGCAACGCCGCGUGAGUGAAGAAGAUCUUCGGAUCGUAAAACUCUGUUGUUAGAGAAGAACACGAGUGAGAGUAACUGUUCAUUCGAUGACGGUAUCUAACCAGCAAGUCACGGCUAACUACGUGCCAG
This 164-nucleotide ribosomal RNA is filed under the name uncultured bacterium. RNAcentral's name for it is "partial 16S rRNA". It matches the Rfam family "Bacterial small subunit ribosomal RNA", at positions 355 to 511 of the family's 1533-position model. The record is from RNAcentral.